ACUCCUACGGGAGGCAGCAGUGGGGAAUAUUGCACAAUGGGCGCAAGCCUGAUGCAGCCAUGCCGCGUGUAUGAAGAAGGCCUUCGGUUGUAAAUGUACUUUCAGCAGUGAGGAAGGUGGGUAUGUUAAUAGCAUACUCAUUUGACGUUAGCUGCAGAAGAAGCACCGGCUAACUCCGUGCCAGCAGCCGCGGUAAUACGGAGGGUGCGAGCGUUAAUCGGAAUUACUGGGCGUAAACGCGCAUGCAGGUGGUUUGUUAAGUCAGAUGUGAAAGCCCGGGGCUCAACCUCGGAAUUGCAUUUGAAACUGGCAAACUAGAGUACUGUAGAGGGGGGUUAGAAUUUCAGGUGUAGCGGUGAAAUGCGUAGAGAUCUGAAGGAAUUACCGGUGGCGAAGGCGGCCCCCCUGGACAGAUACUGACACUCAGAU
RNAcentral lists this ribosomal RNA (429 nucleotides) under uncultured bacterium. RNAcentral's name for it is "bacterial SSU rRNA". It matches the Rfam family "Bacterial small subunit ribosomal RNA", at positions 335 to 752 of the family's 1533-position model. The record is from RNAcentral.